Molecule: non-coding RNA, 1825 nt
Organism: Podarcis lilfordi (Lilford's wall lizard)
Lineage: Eukaryota; Metazoa; Chordata; Lepidosauria; Squamata; Lacertidae
Source: the annotation of a GenBank genome assembly
AGAAGUUCAUCUCUCUCUGAAAACUUAGUACAAGGAUAGCCAAUAAGUAGCCCUCCAGAUGUUGCUAUAGUACAAAUCUCAUUGUCUCUGGGGAUGAUGGGACUUGGAGGGCACCCCACUGGCUACCCCAACUUUAGAGAAAUCAUUGGUACAACAUAUAACACUCUUAAAAGUGAAAUCUACAUCUCAAGCCAUCAGUAGUCUACCAGUAUCACUUCAGAGGCAUCUGUGCAAGGUGGGCUAUAAUUAUGAACCAGAAUGGGUUUACUUUUCAGAUUUCAGAAGCUCAGGAGAGAUUUGUUACUAGAGUCUGGGAUUGAAGUAGGAUUUUCACUAAUGGAGUGUAGAAUUCGCUCUCCCUCACCCUUUGCUCAUGGUUAAAAUCAUUCUGGCUCCUUCUACCACCAUCCACGUUCCUAUGAGCCAAAAAUGCAUGAACUUUAUGCUAAUAGCUCAACUCUGGCUCCAAUUUGGGACAAAGUUCUUGCAAGUCUGAGAUGAAACACAUGCCUUUCCGUCAGGCCGGUAAUAAGAGGCAGAGAGGUCGGAGAUGUCCCAGGGCAAUCGGAAACUAUUUGGAGUGAGAGGAAGGAAACAAGGCUGUGAUGUCCAAUUCUAGAUGAUAGGACAGAGCCAUACUUCCAACUAUCCCAGUUGUCAUUUCAAGCUAAUAUGGAACCAACAUGUUAUCUUGAUGAGGCCUAGUCAGGUUUGGUUUGGUUUUGAACUCAAAUUAGAGAAAGCAAGAACUUUUAUUGUAAAAGUAUUGUUGUGUUAGUAAGAGAAUCCCAUUCCAGUGCUUUAUCCAGAAAACUUCUCCUCUGAAGCCUCCUUUCAUGAGCCCAUACAAAAGUCCGAAUAACCUGGGGCUGAACAGUCUAACUUUAGGGUCAUUCAGUUGUUUAUUCUCCAUUCUGUCUGCCAAGCAAUGAGGAGAAUUUCACCUCACACCUACUCAUUCGUGUAGAAGGUGUGGUAAAACAGGCAUUCAUAUAAGCUCAAAGAUUCUGCAGAAUCACAGGGAAACUUUGAUUUGCCACGUGGUAAAGAGCAGACAAUAUUUUUUUAAGAUGCACCAAGAUCCACCCAGUCAGUUGCUUUGACUCUUCCAAAACAUGGUUGUGUUUAGCUCAGAGAUGAGGAAGCUACGGUCCUCCAAAUAUGGUUGGCCUUCAACUCCCAUCAUCUCUUACUAUUGGCAAUGCUGGUUAGGACUGAUGGGGAGCGGGGGAGUCUGAUAACUGGAGUGCCGCAGGUUCCCAGUCCCUGGUUUAAAAGAUGACUGUUCUUCAAGAAAGCAAUGAAAUGUUCUGGGCUCAUGAAAGCCUCAUUAGAGCAGCACUCAUUUCCAAGGCUCCUUGUUGGCCAGGGACAAGCUCACGUGUGUUUCCUCAAAUGAAAGCAGCUUCUUUCAUGAUUAUUUUUAAAGAAAGAUAUUGCUUCCUCCCAAAGGCAGAACCUGUUACUUGGCAAGUGUUCAGACAGUCUGGAUCUUUUGGAGGAAGAGACAUCAGUUCCUGUAAUACGAAAGGAUUUUCCUCUCAACUUGUAAUUGUCUUCUUGGAGAAGUCCUCUCCUCUUCUAAGUCAUCAUUGGGAAGAGAGCCAUACACAGAAUAGUGCCAGAGCAUGUUCUCUGAAGAUUUGAGCACCAUUCAAAAGUGUUAGAUGUGGACUUGAGAUGAUGCAUGGAGGACGGAUGAGGAUUGUGUUUGUAGGUGCAACAAUGGAGUCCUGUUUACAUGGAAAAUAUAAUCCCUGCACCAAAUGAAGGAAACGGUGAAGCUGGCACACAAAGUCCUUCCUAUAAUUUCGGAGGAAAAGGU